This 910-nucleotide ribosomal RNA is filed under the name Penicillium adametzii. Its description in RNAcentral is "LSU rRNA". It matches the Rfam family "Eukaryotic large subunit ribosomal RNA", at positions 36 to 964 of the family's 3401-position model. The record is from RNAcentral. Lineage: Eukaryota; Fungi; Ascomycota; Eurotiomycetes; Eurotiales; Aspergillaceae.
UAGCAUAUCAAUAAGCGGAGGAAAAGAAACCAACAGGGAUUGCCCCAGUAACGGCGAGUGAAGCGGCAAGAGCUCAAAUUUGAAAGCUGGCUCCUUCGGGGUCCGCAUUGUAAUUUGCAGAGGAUGCUUCGGGAGCGGCCCCCAUCUAAGUGCCCUGGAACGGGCUGUCAUAGAGGGUGAGAAUCCCGUAUGGGAUGGGGUGUCCGCGCCCGUGUGAAGCUCCUUCGACGAGUCGAGUUGUUUGGGAAUGCAGCUCUAAAUGGGUGGUAAAUUUCAUCUAAAGCUAAAUAUUGGCCGGAGACCGAUAGCGCACAAGUAGAGUGAUCGAAAGAUGAAAAGCACUUUGAAAAGAGAGUUAAAAAGCACGUGAAAUUGUUGAAAGGGAAGCGUUUGCGACCAGACUCGCCUACGGGGUUCAGCCUACCUUCGGGUAGGUGUACUUCCCCGUGGGCGGGCCAGCGUCGGUUUGGGCGGCCGGUCAAAGGCCCUCGGAAUGUAACGCCUCUCGGGGCGUCUUAUAGCCGAGGGUGCCAUGCGGCCUGCCCGGACCGAGGAACGCGCUUCGGCUCGGACGCUGGCAUAAUGGUCGUAAACGACCCGUCUUGAAACACGGACCAAGGAGUCUAACAUCUAUGCGAGUGUUCGGGUGUCAAACCCGUGCGCGCAGUGAAAGCGAACGGAGGUGGGAACCCUUUGGGUGCACCAUCGACCGAUCCUGAUGUCUUCGGAUGGAUUUGAGUAAGAGCAUAGCUGUUGGGACCCGAAAGAUGGUGAACUAUGCCUGAAUAGGGCGAAGCCAGAGGAAACUCUGGUGGAGGCUCGCAGCGGUUCUGACGUGCAAAUCGAUCGUCAAAUUUGGGUAUAGGGGGCGAAAGACUAAUCGAACCAUCUAGUAGCUGGUUCCUGCCGA